GGGUUGUGAGGUUAAGCGACUAAGCGUACACGGUGGAUGCCCUGGCAGUCAGAGGCGAUGAAGGACGUGCUAAUCUGCGAUAAGCGUCGGUAAGGUGAUAUGAACCGUUAUAACCGGCGAUUUCCGAAUGGGGAAACCCAGUGUGAUUCGUCACACUAUCAUUAACUGAAUCCAUAGGUUAAUGAGGCGAACCGGGGGAACUGAAACAUCUAAGUACCCCGAGGAAAAGAAAUCAACCGAGAUUCCCCCAGUAGCGGCGAGCGAACGGGGAGCAGCCCAGAGCCUGAAUCAGUGUGUGUGUUAGUGGAAGCGUCUGGAAAGGCGCGCGAUACAGGGUGACAGCCCCGUACACAAAAAUGCACAUGCUGUGAGCUCGAUGAGUAGGGCGGGACACGUGGUAUCCUGUCUGAAUAUGGGGGGACCAUCCUCCAAGGCUAAAUACUCCUGACUGACCGAUAGUGAACCAGUACCGUGAGGGAAAGGCGAAAAGAACCCCGGCGAGGGGAGUGAAAAAGAACCUGAAACCGUGUACGUACAAGCAGUGGGAGCACGCUUAGGCGUGUGACUGCGUACCUUUUGUAUAAUGGGUCAGCGACUUAUAUUCUGUAGCAAGGUUAACCGAAUAGGGGAGCCGAAGGGAAACCGAGUCUUAACUGGGCGUUAAGUUGCAGGGUAUAGACCCGAAACCCGGUGAUCUAGCCAUGGGCAGGUUGAAGGUUGGGUAACACUAACUGGAGGACCGAACCGACUAAUGUUGAAAAAUUAGCGGAUGACUUGUGGCUGGGGGUGAAAGGCCAAUCAAACCGGGAGAUAGCUGGUUCUCCCCGAAAGCUAUUUAGGUAGCGCCUCGUGAAUUCAUCUCCGGGGGUAGAGCACUGUUUCGGCAAGGGGGUCAUCCCGACUUACCAACCCGAUGCAAACUGCGAAUACCGGAGAAUGUUAUCACGGGAGACACACGGCGGGUGCUAACGUCCGUCGUGAAGAGGGAAACAACCCAGACCGCCAGCUAAGGUCCCAAAGUCAUGGUUAAGUGGGAAACGAUGUGGGAAGGCCCAGACAGCCAGGAUGUUGGCUUAGAAGCAGCCAUCAUUUAAAGAAAGCGUAAUAGCUCACUGGUCGAGUCGGCCUGCGCGGAAGAUGUAACGGGGCUAAACCAUGCACCGAAGCUGCGGCAGCGACGCUUAUGCGUUGUUGGGUAGGGGAGCGUUCUGUAAGCCUGUGAAGGUGUACUGUGAGGUAUGCUGGAGGUAUCAGAAGUGCGAAUGCUGACAUAAGUAACGAUAAAGCGGGUGAAAAGCCCGCUCGCCGGAAGACCAAGGGUUCCUGUCCAACGUUAAUCGGGGCAGGGUGAGUCGACCCCUAAGGCGAGGCCGAAAGGCGUAGUCGAUGGGAAACAGGUUAAUAUUCCUGUACUUGGUGUUACUGCGAAGGGGGGACGGAGAAGGCUAUGUUGGCCGGGCGACGGUUGUCCCGGUUUAAGCGUGUAGGCUGGUUUUCCAGGCAAAUCCGGAAAAUCAAGGCUGAGGCGUGAUGACGAGGCACUACGGUGCUGAAGCAACAAAUGCCCUGCUUCCAGGAAAAGCCUCUAAGCAUCAGGUAACAUCAAAUCGUACCCCAAACCGACACAGGUGGUCAGGUAGAGAAUACCAAGGCGCUUGAGAGAACUCGGGUGAAGGAACUAGGCAAAAUGGUGCCGUAACUUCGGGAGAAGGCACGCUGAUAUGUAGGUGAAGUCCCUCGCGGAUGGAGCUGAAAUCAGUCGAAGAUACCAGCUGGCUGCAACUGUUUAUUAAAAACACAGCACUGUGCAAACACGAAAGUGGACGUAUACGGUGUGACGCCUGCCCGGUGCCGGAAGGUUAAUUGAUGGGGUCAGCGCAAGCGAAGCUCUUGAUCGAAGCCCCGGUAAACGGCGGCCGUAACUAUAACGGUCCUAAGGUAGCGAAAUUCCUUGUCGGGUAAGUUCCGACCUGCACGAAUGGCGUAAUGAUGGCCAGGCUGUCUCCACCCGAGACUCAGUGAAAUUGAACUCGCUGUGAAGAUGCAGUGUACCCGCGGCAAGACGGAAAGACCCCGUGAACCUUUACUAUAGCUUGACACUGAACAUUGAGCCUUGAUGUGUAGGAUAGGUGGGAGGCUUUGAAGUGUGGACGCCAGUCUGCAUGGAGCCGACCUUGAAAUACCACCCUUUAAUGUUUGAUGUUCUAACGUGGACCCGUAAUCCGGGUUGCGGACAGUGUCUGGUGGGUAGUUUGACUGGGGCGGUCUCCUCCUAAAGAGUAACGGAGGAGCACGAAGGUUGGCUAAUCCUGGUCGGACAUCAGGAGGUUAGUGCAAUGGCAUAAGCCAGCUUGACUGCGAGCGUGACGGCGCGAGCAGGUGCGAAAGCAGGUCAUAGUGAUCCGGUGGUUCUGAAUGGAAGGGCCAUCGCUCAACGGAUAAAAGGUACUCCGGGGAUAACAGGCUGAUACCGCCCAAGAGUUCAUAUCGACGGCGGUGUUUGGCACCUCGAUGUCGGCUCAUCACAUCCUGGGGCUGAAGUAGGUCCCAAGGGUAUGGCUGUUCGCCAUUUAAAGUGGUACGCGAGCUGGGUUUAGAACGUCGUGAGACAGUUCGGUCCCUAUCUGCCGUGGGCGCUGGAGAACUGAGGGGGGCUGCUCCUAGUACGAGAGGACCGGAGUGGACGCAUCACUGGUGUUCGGGUUGUCAUGCCAAUGGCACUGCCCGGUAGCUAAAUGCGGAAGAGAUAAGUGCUGAAAGCAUCUAAGCACGAAACUUGCCCCGAGAUGAGUUCUCCCUGACUCCUUGAGAGUCCUGAAGGAACGUUGAAGACGACGACGUUGAUAGGCCGGGUGUGUAAGCGCAGCGAUGCGUUGAGCUAACCGGUACUAAUGAACCGUGAGGCUUAACCUUACAACGCCGAAGCUGUU
Molecule: ribosomal RNA, 2930 nt
Filed under: Escherichia coli
Lineage: Bacteria; Pseudomonadati; Pseudomonadota; Gammaproteobacteria; Enterobacterales; Enterobacteriaceae
Description: 23S ribosomal RNA
Rfam family: Bacterial large subunit ribosomal RNA
Source: RNAcentral